This is a long non-coding RNA of Acanthochromis polyacanthus (spiny chromis), 2978 nucleotides long. RefSeq lists it as uncharacterized. The transcript is spliced from 2 exons. NCBI's taxonomy places the organism in Eukaryota, Metazoa, Chordata, Actinopteri, Pomacentridae. The record is from RefSeq and is a predicted model, not a curated record.
GACAGCCUUAAAAUUGAAUGGAAUGGAAAGCAACAUUUGAAAGGCUUCAUGAAAGGAGAUGGGGCGUGUGAAAAAAUGCCAUGUUUUUGUUCUUUCUCCAAGGAAAGUAAUCCUCUUGUCACUCUCGGCAUGUAGCGUAUGCAUUUGUAUUAAUGUGUUGCUAUUUGUCUGUAGUAAUUUUAUAUACAUCCUCAUAUUAGAAAAUGAUUCAUUGGUAUACAUCAAAGAGUUACCGAAAUUAGUAUCUAAAUUUUAGAUAUUAAUUCUGUAACUUGUGGAAGGGCAAACCACAUGUUGAUAUGGUGGAUAACAGCUGUUAACAAAGCUUAAAUUUAUUGUUCCACUAUAGCUGUAAAAUGGCUUUGUCGUAGUAAAGUCUCUACUAGUAAAGUAAAGAGAUGCAAAUCAUAAUAGAUGUUGCCUGAAGUGCGAUCGAAAAGUUCCAGGACUGUUUCUAUAUAAAGGUAAAACCACAAAGAGUACUGUUCCGAAUACUUCUGCCAGGUUUGAAACACUUGGAGGCCCCUUUUCUAACCACUUGCAAGUGCACAUUUGUGAUUUCACCAUGGAGCUCAAAAUUGUGCAAAGAGCAAACUUUAAAUCCUGUUUCAAACUGACCAAACAUUCAUGUCGAGGAUCACCACUGGUGCAGAGAGUUGGAUCUCAGGCUACAAGCCGGACCAAACAGCAGUCUGCAGUGGAAGAACCCGCAUUCUUCAAGACUGAAAAAAGUGCAUCAGGUCAGCAAGAAACCAAGAGCAUGUUUCUCGUUUUGUUCCACAUUUACAGGCAUGUGCACUGUGAAUGUCUCCCAGGGUGAGGCUGUCAUCAGUGAGUUCUACUGCGAGGCCUCAAAUUUAGAACAUUUGGCGCACAAGUCACACCAACACAAUUGUCUCUCUUCGCCUGUCCUACUCGCCAGAUUUGGAUGCCUGUGACUUCUCCCUUUUCCCCAAACUGUAAUUGAAGUUGAAGGGUCACCAUUUUGACACCUCAGACAUCCAGCGAGCGUCACAGAUGGUACGAUUACAAAACAAGACAUCCAGAAUGCGUUUCAAACAUGGCAGGAAUGUUGCGAUUGAUGUGUCACUGCACAACAGGUCUACAUCUAAGAGGAUAGCAAGUGAAAUUUGAGACAGGCAGUUUCCGCCAAAUGUGCCAAUAUCCCUACUUUUAUAAAAUGUUUGGUUAUUGGAAUUCAUUAAAUACAAAAUAAUUGAAAAAAACAUUUUCAGAGGGCAAGAACCGAAUUUGUGUAAAAUACUUGCAAAGUGACAUCCAGUGAUCACAGCACACUGAGAUGUGUUGGCUUUGCAGAAGCAGAAAGGGAGACAUUUUGAGUUUACUCUUUUGGGUUUAAAGAAACCUUCAUGUUUGGCACUCUGUGGAAAAGAAAACAAAUCACUCCUCUGUGAUUAAAGUAUAAUUUGUCAUUAUUUUUCAGCUGUGGCUUAGUUUCAUAAGUUGGUUAGCAUUAGCUUUUAUGAUUUGCAAAAAAAAGAAGGAUUUGUUGUGAAAUUACAGGGAAAAGCUGGGUUUUUAUUCUUUAGAAUGGAUAAUUGCUUAUAUUGUUCAUCAUUCCAUCCAGUUAGUGAUUUAUUAAUAUAUUCAGUCGUUCCUCAGAACAAUCAGUCAGUCAGCAAAGCAUGCUCCGAAUUGUCUGCUGUGUAGUGAAUACCUUACAGACAAUCAAUAAGGCUUUAAUUCAUCGCUCAAAGAUAAUUUCAUGCUCUCAGAAGCCCAUUGGUUAUAUUAAUACAUCUAUUAAGGCACUGGGCUAUGAACUUAAUAUUACUCAGCCUCAGAGGGAGUGGAAGAGGGAGAGAGAGCAGAGUGAAGAGAGUGCCAUGACCAGGGCUAUCUCUGCGUGUUAAAUGAGAGUUUAAACUGUUAAUCAUCUUGGUUAGCUUCCCUCUCAGAUGAGAUCCUGCGCUUUAAUGGCUAAUAAGACUCUAAAACACUCUCCACACUGCCAGAGGAAACAAGCAGUUCUGUAGCCGACCUGAGUACAGACGCUUCCAUUUGAACUUGAGCUGCACAUAACCGAAAACAGCAACUUUUCUGUUGUUGUUUGUGACCAAGUAUUGUACAAUUUCUGCUAAUAUUUAAACCUUUUUCACUUUGUGGAGAAAAAUAUGAUCUGCUCAUUUCAACAACUAUCCUAAAGCCAUCCAUCGGUAGACUGGCUUAAACUGCUCCUGAUAAAAGAAUAUUGUGUAAUGUUAGGAAAUGAGAGACUGUUGUGCAUUUUCUUUCUGUUACAGUAUGCCGUGGCUAAUUACAACGCCACCCUUAGAUGGCAGAGAUAAAAAAAAAGGGGUGACGUACGCUCAAAUUAAACAUAAGUGGGAAAACUAAAAGAAUAAAGACACAAAAGGAGGCAGAAAAAACGCUUUAUCAGAGACAGAAAGAACUUGAUAAGAGUUGUGUGAGGAACAGACACGAACAAUAAUGAAUGAUGAAAGUCCUGAUGAUUGAUGAGUCAUCUCCCACAGCAGAUAAUGACAGCUAUCACUCUUUUGACUUGUGCCUCCAGGCCUUUAUUAGCUUCUUUUUUUUCUUCCUCUGUACUGUGUUUGCCCCCCGUUUUCAGUAUUUAAAUGCAGCCAGUGUGUGAAAAUGUGUUUGCAGACAGCUGUUGUGGGAAUAGCUCGACUGGGUGAUCUGUGCCCUCUUUUUGUCAACUCUUAUCAUCAGCAAUGUACUUUAAGUGUAGCUGGGAAACUUGAGGAGACGCUCACAAUACGGCCGCCUCUGUCUCUGCGAUUCUACAGUGAGUUUUAUUUCUGGUAGACCAAGCUGCUUUUUUUUUAACAUGCCCUUUAUUGUAUGCAUUUGUGAGGCCAGAAAUGAGGACUAUGGGAAGCAGUGAAACCAGAAGGUAUAUGUAUCUUGGUAGUGAAAGGUAGUGUAGACUGCAGUAUUGUAGAGUUGUGUGUGUGAAAGAGAAAUAAAGUGCCUGUUUUGGUCCAAGUGUG